This is a non-coding RNA of Triticum urartu, 4395 nucleotides long. NCBI's taxonomy places the organism in Eukaryota, Viridiplantae, Streptophyta, Magnoliopsida, Poales, Poaceae. The record is from RefSeq and is a predicted model, not a curated record.
GGGAUAAAAGGGAAAAGGCUUUCAGGCUUUAGCGAGGGUUUCUCCUGCUGCUGCUGCUACAGCUUCCAAUCCCCACCUCUCCGGCGAGCGCCAGCCUUUUCCGGCGAGGGUUUGCUCCGAUCGGAGCUCUCGGGCGGCAGAUCGGCCGGGUCCUCCGCCCGCGCUCCCGUGCCUGCGCUGAAGAGACUACCGAAUAUCUUCGUGAAGAGGACUUGAACACAGGUUUGGUGCAAUGGCGAAUAUGAACAUAACCGGCAUCUUGGAGAAGAUGACAGGGAAAGAUAAAGACUACAGAUAUAUGGCCACCUCAGAUCUGCUUAGUGAGUUGAACAAAGAGAGUUUCAAAGCAGACCAAGACCUUGAAUCAAAGUUGACUAAUAUUGUUCUUCAACAACUGGAAGAUGCUUCAGGAGAUGUUUCUGGUUUAGCUGUGAAAUGCUUGGCUCCACUUGUUAAGAAGGUAAGCGAGGAUAGAGUAGUGGAGAUGACUGACAAGCUUUGUGAUAAAUUACUCAAUGGAAAGGAGCAGCAUCGUGAUAUUGCCAGUAUAGCUCUGAAGACAAUCAUUGUGGAAGUUACUACGGCAUCACUUUCUGAAAAGAUUUUAGUUUCUCUUUCCCCGCAGCUAAUCAGUGGUGUCACCAGUGGAAAGAGUGCUGAAAUUAAAUGUGAAUGUCUUGACAUAUUAGGUGACGUGCUUCAUAGAUUCGGCAAUGUGAUCACAAAAGAUCAUGCGUUUAUGCUCACUGCACUUUUAACCCAGCUGAGCUCCACUCAAGCAAGUGUCAGAAAAAAGUCAGUUACGUGCAUAGCAUCGCUUGCUCCAUGUUUGUCGGAUGAUCUAUUAGCCAAGGCAACGUCGGAGGUUGUCCAAUUGCUGAAAAAUAAAAGGGCAAAAUCUGAAAUAACCCGAACAAAUAUCCAGAUGAUUGGUGCUCUCAGUCGGUCAGUUGGAUACCGGUUUGGACCACACCUUGCUGAAGCUGUUCCUUUGCUCAUUAGUUAUUGUACAAGUGCAUCAGAAAAUGAUGAAGAGCUCCGUGAAUACAGCUUGCAGGCCCUUGAGAGCUUUAUGCUCAGAUGUCCAAGAGAUAUUUCCCCAUAUUGUGAUGGUAUUUUGAAUCUUGCUUUGGAAUAUGUAAGCUAUGAUCCUAAUUACACCGAUAGCAUGGAGGAGGAUACUGAUGAUGAAGUACAGGAUGAGGAAGAUGAUGAUGAGAGUGCGAAUGAAUACACAGAUGACGAGGAUGCAAGCUGGAAGGUUCGCCGGGCAUCAGCGAAGUGCCUGUCUGCAAUUAUAGUAUCUCGUCCUCAAAUGUUGUCUAAGAUGUAUCAGGAGGCUUGUCCAAAGUUAAUUGACCGCUUUAGGGAAAGAGAGGAGAAUGUAAAGAUGGACAUCUUCAACACAUUUAUUGAGUUGUUACGCCAAACUGGCAAUGUGACAAAAGGACAAGGCGACAUUGAUGAGUCUAGCCCUAGAUGGUUGCUGAAGCAAGAAGUACCCAAAGUUGUCAAGUCUAUCAAUAGGCAGUUGCGUGAAAAAUCAAUCAAGACAAAGGUUGGAGCAUUCUCAGUAUUGAAGGAGCUUGUUGUUGUAUUACCAGAUUGCCUUGCUGAUCAUUUUGGGUCACUUGUUCCUGGGAUUGAGAAGGCUUUGAAUGACAAAUCUUCUACCUCCAACCUGAAGAUUGAAGCCCUUGCGUUUACUAGGAUUGUUAUGGCCUCACAUUCGCCCUCUGUGUUUCAUCCAUACAUCCAGGCACUUUCUGGUCCAAUAUUAUCUGCUAUGGGAGAUAGAUAUUACAAAGUCACAGCUGAGGCUUUACGGGUGUGUGGGGAGCUCGUCCGAGUCCUCCGUCCAAACUUUGAGGCACGUUCCAUAGAUUUCAGGCCAUAUAUUAGUCCAAUCUAUAAAGCUAUAUUGGGCCGCUUGGCGAAUCAAGAUCAAGAUCAGGAAGUUAAAGAGUGUGCCAUAUCUUGCAUGAGCCUUGUGAUCGCUACUUUUGGUGAUGGUCUUCAGAGUGAAUUACCGUCAUGCCUUCCCAUACUUGUUGAUAGGAUGGGCAAUGAAAUAACACGACUUACAGCUGUCAAGGCAUUUGCGGUGAUUGCAAAUUCACCUCUUCGGAUUGAUCUGUCAUGUGUCCUGGACCAUGUUGUUUCUGAGCUCACAGCUUUCCUUCGAAAGGCCAACAGAGCCCUCAGGCAGGCAACAUUGGGGACCCUAAAUUCUUUGGUUGUCACAUAUGGUGGUCAAAUUGGCUCGUCCUCUUAUGAAACGAUAAUAGCUGAACUUUCUACUCUCAUAAGUGACAUUGAUUUGCAUAUGGCUGCUCUUGCAUUGGAACUGUGUUGCACAAUAAUGGUUGACAGAAGAUCCAUUAAAAAUGUUGGUUUAGCUGUGAGACAUAAGGUUUUGCCCCAGGCCCUUGUUUUGAUCAGGAGUGCUCUGUUGCAAGGACAAGCACUACAGGCACUACAGAAGUUUUUUGCUUCACUGGUCCAGUCUGCAAAUACAAGCUUUGAAACUUUGUUGGACUCCCUUAUUUCAACUGCCAAGCCAUCGCAGUCAGGCAGUCUUUCCAAGCAGGCACUAUCCUCUAUUGCACAGUGUGUUGCUGUGCUAUGCUUAGCAGCUGGUGAUCAGAAAUGUGCAUCAACUGUUGAAAUGCUUAAAGGCAUUCUAAAUGAUGACAGUUCAACUAAUUCUGCUAAACAACACAUGGCCUUGUUAUGUUUGGGAGAAAUUGGAAGAAGGAAGGACCUCAGCAAUCAUGUUCAAAUUGAGAACAUUGUCAUUGAGUCAUUCCAGUCACCUUUUGAGGAGAUAAAGUCUGCAGCAUCGUAUGCUCUUGGAAACAUUGCUGUUGGCAAUCUAUCCAAGUAUUUGCCAUUUAUCUUGGAUCAGAUUGACAAUCAACAGAAGAAGCAGUAUCUUUUGCUUCAUUCACUGAAAGAGGUAAUUGCACGGCAGUCUGUUGAUCAUACUGGCCAGAGUGAGCUGCAGGACUCAAACAUUGUGAAGAUAUUGGCGUUGCUCUUUAAUCACUGCGAAAGUGAGGAGGAAGGAGUUCGGAAUGUGGUUGCUGAGUGUUUAGGGAAAAUUGCACUGAUUGAACCUAACAAAUUAAUCCCUGCUCUGAAGGAACGUACAUGUAGCCCAGCAGCAAACACAAGGGCUACAGUUGCCAUUGCUAUAAAAUAUUCAAUCGUUGAACGGCCUGGAAAGAUAGAUGCAAUCAUGUACUCUGAGAUUUCUACUUUCCUUAUGCUAAUUAAAGACAGUGACAGGCAUGUGAGACGUGCAGCCGUCCUGGCGUUGAGUACUGCUGCCCACAACAAGCCAAAUUUGAUCAAAGGUCUUCUUCCUGAAUUACUGCCUCUUUUGUAUGACCAGACUGUUGUGAAGCAAGAAUUGAUCAGGACAGUUGAUCUAGGGCCUUUCAAGCACGUCGUUGAUGAUGGGCUUGAACUUAGGAAAGCUGCCUUUGAAUGUGUGGACACAUUGCUGGAUAGUUGUCUUGAUCAAUUGAAUCCAUCGUCCUUCAUCGUUCCUUUCCUCUUAUCUGGCUUAGGUGAUCAUUAUGACGUAAAAAUGCCCUGCCAUCUAAUUCUCUCAAAGCUAGCAGACAAGUGUCCUUCUGCUGUUCUUGCAGUUUUGGACUCAUUAGUUGAACCUCUUGAGAAAACAAUCGUCCACAGACCCAAGGGUGAUGCAGUGAAGCAGGAGAUUGAUCGCAACGAAGACAUGAUCCGCAGUGCUCUUCGAGCAAUCGCUGCUCUAAGCCGCAUCAGUGGCAGCGACUACAGCAUGAAGUUCAAGAAUCUGAUGAACAAGAUAACGGCCACCCCUUCACUUGCCGACAAGUACAACUCGGUGCGCAGCGAAUGAGAGCUGCAAUUUUUUUUGUAUAUGUUAGGAAAUAGGUGAGUCAAGUGCCAGUUCCGAGGCGAUGAUCCAACCAAACCUCCCAUUACCGUGCCCUUUUUUGGCUGAAAGGUUGCGCUGCGAACAAAGGGGUGUUGAAUACCCUGCGUUGUUUUUCCUGUACAAAAUCUGGUGGUGAACCCUGGUCGGAGCAUUGUGAUUCUGUGUGCUCUGGAUGUAUUCGGAGAGUACUUUGGUAAGCAGCUUUGAGACUAGAAUUCGGCCCGUGGAACGUAGUCAUGAUUCACCGUCAGGACGAUCCGUUCACGUACCCGACGAACCCACGGCUCAGCGGUGCGUCGGCAGUUUGGCACCCAGCUAUACAGGGUGUACACCGUUUGAUGUCAGGACGAUGACACUUAGCAUGCAGAAUGGGUAGUGCAGCAUAUUGUAUUGGCUGCGGCUGUUGCUACCCUGCGGAGGCAAGGGCCGGCAACGAGGUGCCACUGAGUUAGGAUCCUGUGCAA